AUCUAUUCUGAGAAACCCAAGUCUGACUCCAAACAAAAAACAGAAACUGAAGAAAAAAAGGGGAGGGAAACCCCACAAAACCUUAAUCUCCUCCAGAAACCUAGGGAGGGGGAGGAGGUGCAUGCCAAUACUUGUGGCCACACGGAGAGAAGACUUAAAUGGCCCAAGAAAAAAUGUGCCAUUCUAAGUGGAGAAGAAAACAGCUAUUGUCUAACACUUAAAUAAAAAAUACUGUAUAAACAGCUAACAGCUGUUUUUCAGCCUUUGCUUUUUAGAGCAAAAGCCAAUAAAAGAAAAGACAUACUCUUUUAAAUGUGGUUUUUGUUCAGAGUCCAGAUUUUCUUCGACUAAUACCCAACCCAGAAGUAGGACCUGUUUUGGAUCAUUCUGUUCUGAAGAAUAGAGAAAAACUACAAUGUUCAAUAGAGAGACACAGAUCUGGGUGGAGGCCAAGCCAGACAGACUUUGUUGUACCCAGGGGGAAGUACAUCAGAGGGGAUUUUAGUGAUAAAAACAGAAACCAGGAGUUCCCAUUGUGGCUCAGCGGGUGAAGGACCCGACAUUGUCUCUGGGAGGAUGCAGGUUCAAUCCCUGGCCUCACUCAGUGGGUUAAGGAGCCAGUGUUGCCACAAGCUGUGGUGUAGGUCACAGAUGCGGCUUGGAUCCAGUGCUGCCAUGGCUGUGGUGUAGGCCUCAGCCGUGGCUCUGAUUUGACCCUUAGCCUGGGAACUUCCAAUAUGUCAUGGGUUCAACCCUAAAAAGCAAAAAACAAAAACAAACCAGAGACUACUCCUCUUAAAACCUUCCAGUACUGGAAGGCAAAAACUUUAACCUUGCAUGAAGAAAUAAGAAACAAUGUGCACCUCUUUGAGAUACUGCUUGAUUUCAGCACCGUUCACUAUAAGAUCAUCAAGGCGAGCAAAUGACAUGGUCCAUGCAUUCCUGGUCCAUGGAUAAAAGCCACCUGAUAAGGCCAGGAGGACUUUAAUGAGCACCCAUCUUGUAAAUAAGGAAAUCAUAGGGGACUUUCAAAAGGGAUAUUCAUAUGAAAAUUACUAGCUAAGUCUUAUAAUUAUGAAGCUGAAAGGAUAAAAUAACAGUGAAGCCAGGCCUGGUUUAUAAACAGAGACGCAAAGAUAAGGUCUUACUGAUUCACUCUUGGUGCCUCUGUUAAAGCUGUUUAGUCCACUCUGAAUACCAGCUUCGGUUCCUUAAAGGAAAUCUAAUUCUUACUUUGGGUAUCAGCUCUUUGCCCAUAUCUAACUUUUAAAUUUUAUAUAUCAUCCAUAUAUGCCUGUGUACACAUAUAUACAUAUAUGUGAAGAAGGGCAGAGAAGAGAUCUUUGAAACUUUCUCUGAUUAUUUCUUAUAUCUUUAUUUCAUCUUAACAUUUUGAAAAGCAGGCUUGGUCUCCUUCUGCAUGUGCCUAUCUUUCUACCAUGUCCAAUGCUCUAAAUAUUAUGAAUACAUGACACCCAGUCCCAGCAUUACAGCAGAACCCAUCCUCUGAAGAUCCUCCUGCCACAAUUCAAUGAGACCCUAAAUACGAUGUGGUUUUUAAUGUGUGCUGCUGGGCUUACAGAUAGCAAAGAGAGAUUCCAGAGUCCACAGAAACAAGCAGUGAACUACAAUCCAGGCAGGAGGUGGGAUGUGCAAGAUGAAAUUGAGAACGAAGCCCUGGGCCCAUUGCAAGGGACAAAAACCAAACCAAGUCUCCCCCUUUAAGCCUUGACCCUUGAAGGGGAUGACAUCGAACCUCUGGGUCAGAAAGGGGAGUGAACAACUCUGAGUGCGGCCCCCAGGAUUCUCACAGAUGGAGAAAAGUGAGCUCAGAAUCAAAGAUCAUCAGACAGCAAGAAAACGAUCCACCAUAGGUAAGAGAAAGCAGAAACAACAAACAAUGCAUUUAUUCUUCCAGGAUUUUGGUACUAGAAUUAUUAAAUGCAAAGGUUAAAAUAUUAUAUAUGAAAUAUUUAAAGAAGUCCAGGAUAGAAUCAUAAGUGUGUGAUAAGACUGUGGCGUAUGACCAGGCAGAUUUGGAAAAGAGCCAAAUAAAGGAUUAUAAAUGAAAAAUAUCAUUGUUGAAAUUAGGAAUUCAAUGGCUAGAUUAAACAGAAAGACAGUUGAAAAGAGAAUCAGUUAACUAGUGUGUCUGAAAAAAUUACUCAGAAUAGAGUACAGAAAGAUUGGAAGAUAGAAAACAUGAAAGAGGGGUUAAGGAUAGAAUGAGGUUUAAUAUACUGAUCAUACGAGGCCCAGAAAAGACUAGAGAGAAUGUGUGAAAAGGCAAUAUUCAAAGGGAUAAUGAAUAAGAAGGUCCAGUACUGGUGAGCGAUAUGACACAGACACAGAUACAGAAAGUGUCAUUUUUACCUGGCAGGAUACAUUUUUUAAAAAUCUACACUCAGGAGUUCCCAUCAUGGCUCAGCAUUAACGAACCAGACUAGUAUCCAUGAGGACCCAGGUUCAAGCCCUGGCUUUGCUUAGUGGGUUAAGGAUCCAGCGUUGCCCUGAGCUGUGGUGUAAGUUGCAGACGCCGCUCCGAUCCCAUGUUGCUGUGGCUGUGUCAGGCCAGCAGGUGCAGCUCCAAUUCGACCCCUAGCCUAGAACUUCCAUAUGCCACAGGCGCCCUAAAAAGACAAAACAAACAAAAACCAGUACACUCUGACACAUUGUAAUAAAACUGCAGCAUCCUAAACUUAAAAAGGAAGUUCCUAAAGGCAAGAAGCAGAAAAAAGGCAAAUCACCUGCAAUGAAGCAAUUAGGUCAUCAGCCAACACCUUUUAUACAGACCAGAAACCAGAAAACUAGUGUCUUCAAAGUGAUAAGAGAAAACACCUGAGAAAAAUGCAUGUGCAGCAAAACUACUUUAAGAAUGAGUGUGAAAGAAUCUUCAGAUAAACAUUGUGUAUGAACAAAAAAAUGAACCAUAUGAUGCGUGCUUUGCUUAGGCUCCUUUUAGGGCACCAUACCAGGAAUGCUUUUUUUGGGGGGGAGGGGAGAAAAAAAUGUAAGUAUGAGGUUAACAUUUAUUUAGUUGAAUGACAAGGAGGUUUUUUCGUGUUCCCUGACUCUCUGGGAAUUCAGGAAACAAUUGAGUUAUUGGUGGUUUAAAAUGUCAGAGAGCAGUAAUCACAUUGUGCUUCCCACUCUCAAUUACUUCAAGCAUUGUCUGAUUUUGAGGCUGUUCUUGAGAACUACAAUGUUUUUCUAGUAUAUAUUGUGUAGUUUUCACGUGCUCAGUAUGACUAAUGCAUUAGUCACAAGUUAGAGUAUGAGAGACCCAAGAAAAGACAGCCUUGGUCUUAGGCAUGACUUUCUUCCCUAUGCUUCAUUCCCUCACUCCAGCCAGCUAUUGCCCCUAGCCACUGAGACUGGUUCUGUUCCUGGCAGGAGUUACUUCCUUUGUAGAAUCUGCUGCUUCUUGAAGCCUUUGCUUUAGUAAAAGCUCCAUCCUGCUUCUUGGGCAGACAGCCCCCCUGCCUUUCUCAUCCCUUUUCCUAUAACCCGUUGUCUACUAGUGGGAAAAUGUAUAAGCCCAGCUGUUCGAGAAGUGAGAAAGGGAGAGACAAGAGGGGAAAUUAGAUGAGGUUGAUGCAACUUGCACAAAGAAUACUUCAAGCUAUGCUUUUUUUGUAAUCCAGAAAAGCCGGAACCAACCCAAGUCUCCAACAAUCAGGAACUAGCUAAACAAACUUUAGCAUAUGAAAAAAUGGAAUCUUACAUCACCGUGACUGAUGCUACGUGCAAAACAGUGUGGAUAAUGGCUACAUGUGGAUCUGGGGACUACAUCAAACUGUUUAAUGUCAAACAGGUAAACAGAGCACAGAGUCAGUUAUGCACAGGGGUUACAAUUAUGUCAAAAUCAUGCAGAUAGAGAGUUAGGAAUUGCAGGAGGAUCCAGAGCCUUCUAACUUAUCAGUAAAUGUAUUAUUUAAGCAUUAGUGUUUACUAGUAAAUUUGUUGUGCAAAUGUUUUUAUGUUGUUUCUGUUUCUUCUAUGGUUCUUAAAGGAGGCUACAUUUUAUUUUUUUAUUUUUUUAAUUAAAAGUUUUUUUUAAUUUUUUUGCUUUUUAGGGCUGUACCCAUGGCCUAUGGAAGUUCUCAGGCUAGAGGGUCGAAUCAGAGCUUCAGCAGCCAGCCUACCCCUCAGCCACAUCAACACGGGAUCUGAGCUGCAUCUGCAACCUACACCACAGCUCACGGAAAUACCAGAUCCUUAACCCACUGAGCAAGGCCAGGAAUCAAACCCGAGUCUUCAUGGAUACUAAUCAGAUUUGUCUCCACUUUGCCACAGUUGGAACUCCUACAUUUUAAUUUUAAAUGGUAGGCUAAAAAAAUACAGGGAAUGUAUUAGAAGACAGAAAUUAUACACUAAUUUCUACAAGGAAAAUUAACUAUAAAAAUUAUUAAAAGACAAUUGGAGUGACAUGAGUUUAGCUAAUAAGAGGUAAAGAGAUCCCUGAAGAAAAGAGAAAAAGCAAACAAUGGGGGGCAGUUAUCACUCCAAGGGCUGAAAUACAACAUUCAGGAAGAAGCUGCCUCCUCCCAGGCCUAAGCUAUAGACAACAUUGGAGAGGGUAUGGCCACGGCUCUCUGGAUGUUGGAAAAUUUCAUAGGGGCCCAUACUGGUGAAACAUUGCAGAACCUGCUCUCUGGAGUGCUGAGGAAGCCAUCCAUCAGUUGGGAGACCAUGCUCCAGAAUUCACUGCAAAGCUAUGCAAUGGGGUGCCAGGAAAGCCAUUUGCCCACUUUUGGCAUUCUACCAUGAAGCCUUCUAUGGGGGUUCCAGCCAAAGUCAUUCACAGGGAGGUGUCCAGGGAAGCUGCCUGGAGGAAGGCACCACUGGCGCUGGCCACCUGGCCCUGCAGAGAAAGCUCUGUGUGCUGCAGGAGCCUGAUAAGCAAGCCCACUGGAACCAGGAAAAGAAGCCCUUUCCUCUCACAAUGUCCUUUCCGGGCCCUCUACUGACAAAACUUACGUACCACACUAACAGUCACACACAC
This 5005-nucleotide long non-coding RNA is filed under the name Sus scrofa (pig). RNAcentral describes it as "lncRNA (ENSSSCG00000056263.1)". The record is from RNAcentral. Lineage: Eukaryota; Metazoa; Chordata; Mammalia; Artiodactyla; Suidae.